Molecule: unclassified non-coding RNA, 336 nt
Organism: Erinaceus europaeus (western European hedgehog)
Lineage: Eukaryota; Metazoa; Chordata; Mammalia; Eulipotyphla; Erinaceidae
Gene: 7SK
Rfam family: 7SK RNA
About the family: 7SK was discovered as an abundant small nuclear RNA in the mid-70s but a possible function has only recently been suggested. Two independent studies have found that 7SK RNA binds the CDK9/cyclin T complex (known as elongation factor P-TEFb). P-TEFb activates transcription by phosphorylating the C-terminal domain of RNA polymerase II.
Source: Ensembl
AGAUGUGAGGGUGAUCUGGCUGUGAAUCUGUCACCCUAUUGAUUGCCGGGGCUGACUCACUGAUCUGGCUGGCUAGGUGCAUGCCUCUGCCCUCCCUUAGUGCUCCACAUGUAUCCCUCCUGAAGUUUCCCACUUAGAGAAAGAGGACAACCUUUUCAGAGUAGAGGUGGACCUGUCUUCUGUCGAGAAUAUAUGAAUAGCUGUGCUCCCCUGCUAGAACUUCCAAACAAGUUCUCCAGGAGAGAACUAGCCACAUCCCACAUUGUGACAAUAAUCACAGAGCUUCCAUUUCUGAUUCCAGAAGGGAUUCAGUUUUUUUUAAAAAAUAAUUUAUUU